RNAcentral lists this ribosomal RNA (741 nucleotides) under Enterobacter cloacae. RNAcentral describes it as "partial 23S ribosomal RNA". It matches the Rfam family "Bacterial large subunit ribosomal RNA", at positions 2190 to 2925 of the family's 2925-position model. The record is from RNAcentral. Lineage: Bacteria; Pseudomonadati; Pseudomonadota; Gammaproteobacteria; Enterobacterales; Enterobacteriaceae.
CCUUGAAAUACCACCCUUUAAUGGCUGGUGUUCUAACGUAGACCCGUAAUCCGGGUUGCGGACAGUGUCUGGUGGGUAGUUUGACUGGGGCGGUCUCCUCCCAAAGAGUAACGGAGGAGCACGAAGGUUAGCUAAUCCUGGUCGGACAUCAGGAGGUUAGUGCAAUGGCAUAAGCUAGCUUGACUGCGAGAGUGACGGCUCGAGCAGGUGCGAAAGCAGGUCAUAGUGAUCCGGUGGUUCUGAAUGGAAGGGCCAUCGCUCAACGGAUAAAAGGUACUCCGGGGAUAACAGGCUGAUACCGCCCAAGAGUUCAUAUCGACGGCGGUGUUUGGCACCUCGAUGUCGGCUCAUCACAUCCUGGGGCUGAAGUAGGUCCCAAGGGUAUGGCUGUUCGCCAUUUAAAGUGGUACGCGAGCUGGGUUUAGAACGUCGUGAGACAGUUCGGUCCCUAUCUGCCGUGGGCGCUGGAGAAUUGAGGGGGGCUGCUCCUAGUACGAGAGGACCGGAGUGGACGCAUCACUGGUGUUCGGGUUGUCAUGCCAAUGGCACUGCCCGGUAGCUAAAUGCGGAAGAGAUAAGUGCUGAAAGCAUCUAAGCACGAAACUUGCCCCGAGAUGAGUUCUCCCUGAGACUUUAAGUCUCCUGAAGGAACGUUAAAGACGAUGACGUUGAUAGGUCGGGUGUGUAAGCGCAGCGAUGCGUUGAGCUAACCGAUACUAAUGAACCGUGAGGCUUAACCUU